This 440-nucleotide ribosomal RNA is filed under the name uncultured bacterium. RNAcentral's name for it is "partial 16S ribosomal RNA". It matches the Rfam family "Bacterial small subunit ribosomal RNA", at positions 339 to 795 of the family's 1533-position model. The record is from RNAcentral.
CUACGGGUUGCAGCAGUGAGGAAUAUUGCACAAUGGGGGGAACCCUGAUGCAGCAACGCCGCGUGGAGGAUGACGCAUUUCGGUGUGUAAACUCCUUUUAUAUGUCAAGAAAAUGACGGUAGCAUAUGAAUAAGCACCGGCUAACUCCGUGCCAGCAGGCCGCGGUAAUACGGAGGGUGCAAGCGUUACUCGGAAUCACUGGGCGUAAAGGGCGCGUAGGCGGGUUGGAAAGUCAGGUGUGAAAUCCUACAGCUUAACUGUAGAACUGCACUUGAAACUUCUAAUCUAGAGUAUGGGAGGGGGAGAUGGAAUUAGUGGUGUAGGGGUAACAUCCGUAGAUAUCACUAGGAAUACCUAAAGCGAAGGCGAUCUCCUGGAACAUUACUGACGCUAAGGCGUGAAAGCGUGGGGAGCAAACAGGAUUAGAUACCCGAGUAGUC